RNAcentral lists this long non-coding RNA (566 nucleotides) under Micromonas pusilla. Its description in RNAcentral is "long non-coding RNA (MPUS_LNC000113)". The record is from RNAcentral. Lineage: Eukaryota; Viridiplantae; Chlorophyta; Mamiellophyceae; Mamiellales; Mamiellaceae.
GCCGCCGCCGCCGGUAUCUUUCCGGAAGGAUUGGCGAUUCGCGAGCGGCGUGCGAUCCCCCCGGCAAUCCCUCCCGGGCGGGGGAGAGAUCGUCACCUGGACCGUCGCCGCGGCGCGCGCCCCUCCGCCGCCGCGAGUGGAAAUCGCAGACGAAACGCGAGCGUUCGAACCGUUAUACAACCGUUCGAACCGUUUCUCCAAGUUCGCUCGUGGGAAACGUCGUCGGGUCCAAGACGUCCCGGGCGCCGCCGUCGGUCGGUCUUGCCCGGUCGGUUUUUUUUUCAGCCCGGAGCCGCGCCUGCUCGCGCGCCGGUCGCGUCGAUCCGCGUCGCAUCGCGUCCGGGUCCGUCGCGUCACCGCGCGCUUCGCUUCGCUUCGCUUCACUCCUGAUCCAUCCCCCCCGGCCGCGCCCACAGUUUCACGAUCCCCCCCGCGCACGCGGUGACUACGCCGUCCGCGUUGAAGAGCACCUCCGUCGUCGGCUCGUCGUGGAGCUUCCGCGACACGACGGGCGAGAGGCGGUUGUGGACGUCGCCGCGGCACGCCGACGGCGCGAUGACCUGCCC